UACAGUUAAAUCCCAGCAGCUCUCAUUCUAUGGUAGAAACAAACAUGUUGCUGAAUCUCUCCUAUCGUUAAAACAUGCCAUUUUAUAAAAGUGACUGGUGAAGGCAGUGUCUAUACUUUAGGUGUACUCUGUACCUCAUUGUGAAGGUUUAAAGGGACAGGUGUAUUAGUGUACUCUGUACCUCAUUGUGAAGGUUUAAAAGGGACAGGUGUAUUAGUGUACUCUGUACCUCAUUGUGAAGGUUUAAAGGGACAGGUGUAUUAGUGUACUCUGUACCUCAUUGUGAAGGUUUAAAAGGGACAGGUGUAUUGGUGUACUCUGUACCUCAUUGUGAAGGUUUAAAUGGACAGGUGUAUUAGUGUACUCUGUACCUCAUUGUGAAGGUUUAAAAGGGACAGGUGUAUUGGUGUACUCUGUACCUCAUUGUGAAGGUUUAAAUGGACAGGUGUAUUAGUGUACUCUGUACCUCAUUGUGAAGGUUUAAAAGGGACAGGUGUAUUGGUGUACUCUGUACCUCAUUGUGAAGGUUUAAAUGGACAGGUGUAUUAGUGUACUCUGUACCUCAUUGUGAAGGUUUAAAAGGGACAGGUGUAUUAGUGUACUCUGUACCUCAUUGUGAAGGUUUAAAGGGACAGGUGUAUUAGUGUACUCUGUACCUCAUUGUGAAGGUUUAAAAGGGACAGGUAUUAGUGUACUCUGUACCUCAUUGUGAAGGUUUAAAAGGGACAGGUGUAUUAGUGUACUCUGUACCUCAUUGUGAAGGUUUAAAAGGGACAGGUGUAUUAGUGUACUCUGUACCUCAUUGUGAAGGUUUAAAUGGACAGGUGUAUUAGUGUACUCUGUACCUCAUUGUGAAGGUUUAAAGGGACAGGUGUAUUGGUGUACUCUGUACCACAUUGUGAAGGUUUAAAGGGACAGGUACAGUAUGUUGUAUUUACA
Oncorhynchus keta (chum salmon) is the source of this 939-nucleotide long non-coding RNA. RefSeq lists it as uncharacterized. The transcript has 4 exons. Lineage: Eukaryota; Metazoa; Chordata; Actinopteri; Salmoniformes; Salmonidae. The record is from RefSeq and is a predicted model, not a curated record.